GUGGGGGAUAUUGCACAAUGGGGGGAACCCUGAUGCAGCGACGCCGCGUGAGUGAAGAAGUCAUUCGUGAUGUAAAGCUCUAUCAGCAGGGACGAAAAUGACGGUACCUGAGUAAGAAGCCCCGGCUAACUACGUGCCAGCAGCCGCGGUAAUACGUAGGGGGCAAGCGUUAUCCGGAUUUACUGGGUGUAAAGGGAGCGUAGACGGCGAAGCAAGUCUGGAGUGAAAGCCCGGGGCCCAACCCCGGGACUGCUCUGGAAACUGCGGCGCUGGAGUGCAGGAGGGGUAAGCGGAAUUCCUGGUGUAGCGGUGAAAUGCGUAGAUAUCAGGAGGAACACCAGUGGCGAAGGCGGUCUGCUGGACAGCAACUGACGCUGAGGCGCGAAAGCGUGGGGAGCAAACAGG
This 405-nucleotide ribosomal RNA is filed under the name uncultured bacterium. RNAcentral's name for it is "bacterial SSU rRNA". It matches the Rfam family "Bacterial small subunit ribosomal RNA", at positions 354 to 776 of the family's 1533-position model. The record is from RNAcentral.